Mesocricetus auratus (golden hamster) is the source of this 3639-nucleotide RNA transcript. It is a transcript of the gene named dynein 2 intermediate chain 1, with no coding region annotated. The transcript is spliced from 23 exons. The record is from RefSeq and is a predicted model, not a curated record. NCBI's taxonomy places the organism in Eukaryota, Metazoa, Chordata, Mammalia, Rodentia, Cricetidae.
CCUCGGCUGGUUGCUAGGAGACGGGGACGCCUGGCUGCCGGGGUCCCGGAGCCGCGGACUGUGUAGGCCCCGGCCAGCCAGAGGAGCCGAGCGACGGCGGGCUCGUCUUCCCCGGGGGCCCCCCGCGCCUGCCCCGGGCUCGAGGGGCCAUGGAGCCUGGGAAGAGAAGAACGAAAGAUGAUACCUGGAAAGCAGAAGACCUCAGAAGACACCUUAAGGCUGUGCAAUCAGGAAGUCCCAAGGAAGAUAAGAAACUCAGGGAAAAGAAGGCGCACAAGGAGUCGGAGCUGGGCCUCCUUGAACACAGAGAGCACAAGAGCAGGGACCCAGACCGAGAGGCCCGGCACAAGGAGAAGGCUGCUGAGAGAGACCUUCACGCGUUUACGGAGCAUGCGCGUGGGGAGAGAGACCGGGAGAGGCACAAGGAAAGGAGGAAGGAGGCGAAGGACCGCGAGAGAGACAAGCUGAAAGAGAGGCACCGAGAGCAAGAGGCGGAGAAGGCCCCCAGUCGAGGCAAAGACCGCGAGAGAGACAGGGACAGAAGGGCCAGGAAGGAAGAGCUCAGGCAGACGAUCGCCUACCACGACCUCCUGGCGCGAGAGGCGCGUGGCCGGCAGGUUCUGGAGAGAGUGGACAAGAAGGCCCACGCAGCAGGCAAAGUACGAAUUGAGGAAAAGGAAAGGAGAGAUGAAGAUUCUGAAAGAGGAGAUGACGACAGAGAAAGAAGAUACCGAGAAAGAAAGAUCUCACUGUUGCUUUCAAAGCUACAGUAUGGAGACAGUAAAGAGAACCCUCUCAACUACUGGCUGUAUAAAGAGGAGAGUGAAAAGAGGCACAGGAAGACGAAAGAUGCAGACCGUGAGAAGAGACACCGCGAGAGAAGCAGCACCAGGGAGAAGAGAGAGAAACACUCUAAAGAGAAGGGGAGCUCGCUCUCUGACAGGGAAGUGGAGGACAGACACCGAGAGAGGCGGCACAAGGAGGGACUUCAUCAUGAUGAGGAGAAGCGCCGAAGUCACACAGAUAAAAGAGAGAGAUCCGUGAAGGAAGAGCACAAGAAAAGAGAAGCAAAGGAACCUGAAAAGGAAGACAAUGAUUUAGAGGCUACUGGGGCUAAUGAAUAUAUGGCUAAUUUUGAAGAUGAUUUUGAAGAUUACGAAGAUGACUUCGAGGUUUGUGAUGGUGAUGAUGAUAGCAGUAAUGAGCGUGACUCUAAAGAAAAAUCUGAAGAACUUCCUCUCGCCCAGAAAAGGGAAAUACAAGAAAUCCAAAAGGCAAUCAGUGCAGAGAAUGAAAGGGUUGGAGAGUUAUCUUUGAAACGGUUUCAGAAGCAAGGUCGAAUGGAGAAUGAGAAGGAGUCCUGGGCAGAAGCAAGUGAUUCCAUUUCCAGAACCCCUGUUUGUGGGAUUUUUGUAGAUUUUGCAACAGCCUCCCAUCGCCAGAAGAGUCGGAGUCAGGCCCUCAAGCAGAAGACACGAAGUACAAAGCUGCUCCGGCUUAUUGAUUUAGACUAUUCGUUCACUUUUUCUCUCUUGGACCUACCACCAGUAAAUGAGUAUGACAUGUAUAUUAGGAACUUCGGGAAAAAAAAUACCAAGCAGGCUUAUGUUCAGUACAAUGAAGAUAGCGUUGAGAGAGAUGUUCAGACUGAGGACAUAGAAACCAGGGAAGUGUGGACCCAGCACCCAGGAGAGGGCACUGUUGUAUCUGGAGGGAGUGAAGAAAAAGACAUCUCUGAUGCCACAGUCGUACCAAAGAUUGACACGCCACGGCUGUCUAGCUUUCUCCGGGCGGCAUGCCAGGUGGUUGCUGUUUUGCUUGAAGAGGACCGUUUGGCCUCUGGACCCAGCUGGAAUCCCCGGGCUCAAGACACAGCUCUGAGCAUCAGUGACAGCUCCUCCCAGCUGAACACGAGCCUGCCGUUCCUUCAGGGUAGGAAAGUCUCCUGUCUGCAUGCCUCUCGAGUUCAGAGACAGACUGUGGUCUCUGUUCAUGACUUACCUGAAGAGCCGUUUGCGCCAUCUCUGGACAGCCGGCACCUCCUCUGUGUGUGGGAUAUUUGGCAGCCUUCAGGGCCCCAGAAGGUUCUGAUAUGUGAGUCAAAGGUCACAUGUUGCUGCUUCAGCCCUUUAAAAGCAUUUUUGCUGUUUGCGGGAACAGUGCACGGCUCCGUGGUGCUUUGGGACUUAAGAGAAGACUCCAGGAUACACAGUUAUGUGAGGCUGAGCAACUGUCUCUGGGCCUUCAGGACCCCCACGUUUUCCACCGAUGGAGUCCUUACGUCAGUGAACCACCAAAGUCCUCUUCAAGCCAUAGAACCAGUUGUCACAUCUGCCUACAAAAAACAGAGCCUGGUGCUCUCACCCUUUUCUUCUCAAGAAGAAAUGGCAGGCUUAUCAUUUCACAUUGCUUCCCUGGACAACAGUGGCAUUCUCAACGUGUGGGUGGUUGUUGAAUUACCAAAGGCAGAUAUCUCAGGUUCAAUGAGUGAUUUAGGUCUGAUACCUGGAGGGAGGAUCAAAUUGGUGCACAGUACUGUGAUCCAAUUGGGCAACAGUCUUUCCCAUAAAGAUAGUGAACUCUGGGGGUCCUCACAAACACUGAGUGUCAAGUUUCUGCCUUCGGAUCCUGAUCACUUUGUUGUUGGCACCGAUACGGGACUUAUACGGCACAGUACCAGACAAGAGUGGAGAGUGUCUCCCAAGGUGUUCAAGCCUCAGCAACAUGGUGUCAGACCAAUAAAAGUUAACGUGAUCGAUUUUUCACCAUUUGAAGAAACAGUAUUCUUGGCUGGCUGUUCAGAUGGAAGCAUCAGACUGCACCAGCUGACGUCUGAGAGGCCUGUUCUGCAGUGGGACGGCAGUACCCGUGGCCGCUCUGUCACCAGCCUGCAGUGGUCCCCGACAAGGCCCACUGUGUUCUUGGUCCAGGAUGGUGCGUCCAGGAUCUAUGUCUGGGACCUUCUUGAGAAUGACCUGGGCCCUGUGGCCCAGCAGCUCAUCUCUCCAGACAGACUUGUGGCCAUGACCGUCAUGGGGGAUCCCGAGAAGGCCAGUGGUAGCUCUGUGGCGCUGGUGUUGGCCAGGGCCUCUGGCACAGUUGACAUCCAGUACUUGAAGAGGCGGUGGACCGCCCCGGCGGCGGAUGAGCACAGCCAGCUGCACAUGCUUCUUCGGAAAUGAGGGUGUAGUGUCAGGAGAAGGACGAGUGCCCAGGACGCGGCUACAGGACGCCUCCCGUGACUCCGUGUCCACGUGACCCUGUGUUCUGCUCUUGUGGAGACUGUUCUAACAGUACUGGGCGUCUGAAGGCAGCUGAGAUUCACUGAGCCACAUGACCACCCACUGGACGAGGUGAGACACGCCACAAGCGGUCAUGUGCCAACCCCUGGGCUUCAAGGAAAGUGAAGCUUUGAUGAAGAGGGCACUGAGCGAGACUCUCGUCCUGCGGAACGGCACCUGGUUGGUACAGCACGCACCAGCGGCUUGGCCCCACGCCCAUGCGCACGUGGGUGGCAUUAGUUAGACUUCGGGGACAUGAGUGAGGACAGCCUUCACCAGCUACCAAGUCUGCCAGGCAUUCAACUUGGACUUCACACGUUCGGGAGUGAGAAAUAAAUGUCUUCUUUUAUAAUUAAAA